This 1479-nucleotide ribosomal RNA is filed under the name Acinetobacter pittii. Its description in RNAcentral is "bacterial SSU rRNA". It matches the Rfam family "Bacterial small subunit ribosomal RNA". Lineage: Bacteria; Pseudomonadati; Pseudomonadota; Gammaproteobacteria; Moraxellales; Moraxellaceae. The record is from RNAcentral.
GAGUUUGAUUCUGGCUCAGAUUGAACGCUGGCGGCAGGCUUAACACAUGCAAGUCGAGCGGAGAGAGGUAGCUUGCUACUGAUCUUAGCGGCGGACGGGUGAGUAAUGCUUAGGAAUCUGCCUAUUAGUGGGGGACAACAUUUCGAAAGGAAUGCUAAUACCGCAUACGUCCUACGGGAGAAAGCAGGGGAUCUUCGGACCUUGCGCUAAUAGAUGAGCCUAAGUCGGAUUAGCUAGUUGGUGGGGUAAAGGCCUACCAAGGCGACGAUCUGUAGCGGGUCUGAGAGGAUGAUCCGCCACACUGGGACUGAGACACGGCCCAGACUCCUACGGGAGGCAGCAGUGGGGAAUAUUGGACAAUGGGCGCAAGCCUGAUCCAGCCAUGCCGCGUGUGUGAAGAAGGCCUUAUGGUUGUAAAGCACUUUAAGCGAGGAGGAGGCUACUUUAGAUAAUACCUAGAGAUAGUGGACGUUACUCGCAGAAUAAGCACCGGCUAACUCUGUGCCAGCAGCCGCGGUAAUACAGAGGGUGCAAGCGUUAAUCGGAUUUACUGGGCGUAAAGCGCGCGUAGGCGGCUAAUUAAGUCAAAUGUGAAAUCCCCGAGCUUAACUUGGGAAUUGCAUUCGAUACUGGUUAGCUAGAGUGUGGGAGAGGAUGGUAGAAUUCCAGGUGUAGCGGUGAAAUGCGUAGAGAUCUGGAGGAAUACCGAUGGCGAAGGCAGCCAUCUGGCCUAACACUGACGCUGAGGUGCGAAAGCAUGGGGAGCAAACAGGAUUAGAUACCCUGGUAGUCCAUGCCGUAAACGAUGUCUACUAGCCGUUGGGGCCUUUGAGGCUUUAGUGGCGCAGCUAACGCGAUAAGUAGACCGCCUGGGGAGUACGGUCGCAAGACUAAAACUCAAAUGAAUUGACGGGGGCCCGCACAAGCGGUGGAGCAUGUGGUUUAAUUCGAUGCAACGCGAAGAACCUUACCUGGCCUUGACAUAGUAAGAACUUUCCAGAGAUGGAUUGGUGCCUUCGGGAACUUACAUACAGGUGCUGCAUGGCUGUCGUCAGCUCGUGUCGUGAGAUGUUGGGUUAAGUCCCGCAACGAGCGCAACCCUUUUCCUUAUUUGCCAGCGAGUAAUGUCGGGAACUUUAAGGAUACUGCCAGUGACAAACUGGAGGAAGGCGGGGACGACGUCAAGUCAUCAUGGCCCUUACGGCCAGGGCUACACACGUGCUACAAUGGUCGGUACAAAGGGUUGCUACCUAGCGAUAGGAUGCUAAUCUCAAAAAGCCGAUCGUAGUCCGGAUUGGAGUCUGCAACUCGACUCCAUGAAGUCGGAAUCGCUAGUAAUCGCGGAUCAGAAUGCCGCGGUGAAUACGUUCCCGGGCCUUGUACACACCGCCCGUCACACCAUGGGAGUUUGUUGCACCAGAAGUAGCUAGCCUAACUGNCAAGAGGGCGGUUCCACGGUGUGGCCGAUGACUGGGGUGA